Molecule: non-coding RNA, 24 nt
Filed under: Arabidopsis thaliana (thale cress)
Lineage: Eukaryota; Viridiplantae; Streptophyta; Magnoliopsida; Brassicales; Brassicaceae
Source: RNAcentral
CUGCGACUCUUUCAUUCAUCUCAC